GUGGGGAAUAUUGGACAAUGGGCGAAAGCCUGAUCCAGCCAUGCCGCGUGUGUGAAGAAGGUCUUCGGAUUGUAAAGCACUUUAAGUUGGGAGGAAGGGCAGUAAGUUAAUACCUUGCUGUUUUGACGUUACCGACAGAAUAAGCACCGGCUAACUUCGAGCCAGCAGCCGCGGUAAUACGGAGGGGGCUAGCGUUGUUCGGAAUUACUGGGCGUAAAGCGCACGUAGGCGGACUGGAAAGUCAGGGGUGAAAUCCCGGGGCUCAACCUCGGAACUGCCUCCAAAACUACUGAGCUAGAGUACGGUAGAGGGUAGUGGAAUUUCCUGUGUAGCGGUGAAAUGCGUAGAUAUAGGAAGGAACACCAGUGGCGAAGGCGACUACCUGGACUGAUACUGACACUGAGGUGCGAAAGCGUGGGGAGCAAACAGGAUUAGAUACCCGUGUAGUCC
Molecule: ribosomal RNA, 450 nt
Filed under: uncultured bacterium
Lineage: Bacteria
Description: partial 16S ribosomal RNA
Rfam family: Bacterial small subunit ribosomal RNA
Source: RNAcentral